This 653-nucleotide ribosomal RNA is filed under the name uncultured bacterium. RNAcentral describes it as "bacterial SSU rRNA". It matches the Rfam family "Bacterial small subunit ribosomal RNA", at positions 202 to 842 of the family's 1533-position model. The record is from RNAcentral.
AAAAGGUGGCUAUGCUACCGCUUUUGGAUGGGCCCGCGGCGCAUUAGCUAGUUGGUGGGGUAAAGGCUUACCAAGGCAAUGAUGCGUAGCCGAACUGAGAGGUUGAUCGGCCACAUUGGGACUGAGACACGGCCCAAACUCCUACGGGAGGCAGCAGUAGGGAAUCUUCCACAAUGGGCGAAAGCCUGAUGGAGCAACGCCGCGUGGGUGAAGAAGGUCUUCGGAUCGUAAAACCCUGUUGUUAGAGAAGAAAGUGCGUGAGAGUAACUGUUCACGUUUCGACGGUAUCUAACCAGAAAGCCACGGCUAACUACGUGCCAGCAGCCGCGGUAAUACGUAGGUGGCAAGCGUUAUCCGGAUUUAUUGGGCGUAAAGGGAACGCAGGCGGUCUUUUAAGUCUGAUGUGAAAGCCUUCGGCUUAACCGGAGUAGUGCAUUGGAAACUGGGAGACUUGAGUGCAGAAGAGGAGAGUGGAACUCCAUGUGUAGCGGUGAAAUGCGUAGAUAUAUGGAAGAACACCAGUGGCGAAAGCGACUCUCUGGUCUGUAACUGACGCUGAGGUUCGAAAGCGUGGGUAGCAGACAGGAUUAGAUACCCUGGUAGUCCACGCCGUAAACGAUGAAUGCUAAGUGUUGGAGGGUUUCCGCCCUUCA